This is a long non-coding RNA of Melanotaenia boesemani (Boeseman's rainbowfish), 101 nucleotides long. RefSeq lists it as uncharacterized. Lineage: Eukaryota; Metazoa; Chordata; Actinopteri; Atheriniformes; Melanotaeniidae. The record is from RefSeq and is a predicted model, not a curated record. The transcript has 3 exons.
AAGUUUAUUUUCUGAAUUUAAAAAAACCUGAAUAAAAGUAAAAAGGUUUGGUUUGUUUCGGUCAUAAAUUCCGGUUUAUAAGCAGUUGGGCUGCUACAAAC